AAGAUGAAUCAAAGAAGGUAAUAAUCCUGUAGUCGAAAAUGUUGUCUCUCUUGAGUGGAUCCUGAGUACGACGGAGCACGUGAAAUUCCGUCGGAAUCUGGGAGGACCAUCUCCUAAGGCUAAAUACUCUCUAGUGACCGAUAGUGAACCAGUACCGUGAGGGAAAGGUGAAAAGCACCCCGGAAGGGGAGUGAAAUAGAACCUGAAACCGUGUGCUUACAAGUAGUCAGAGCCCGUUAAUGGGUGAUGGCGUGCCUUUUGUAGAAUGAACCGGCGAGUUACGAUUUGAUGCAAGGUUAAGCAGUAAAUGUGGAGCCGUAGCGAAAGCGAGUCUGAAUAGGGCGUUUAGUAUUUGGUCGUAGACCCGAAACCAGGUGAUCUACCCUUGGUCAGGUUGAAGUUCAGGUAACACUGAAUGGAGGACCGAACCGACUUACGUUGAAAAGUGAGCGGAUGAACUGAGGGUAGCGGAGAAAUUCCAAUCGAACCUGGAGAUAGCUGGUUCUCUCCGAAAUAGCUUUAGGGCUAGCCUCAAGUGAUGAUUAUUGGAGGUAGAGCACUGUUUGGACGAGGGGCCCCUCUCGGGUUACCGAAUUCAGACAAACUCCAAAUGCCAAUUAAUUUAACUUGGGAGUCAGAACAUGGGUGAUAAGGUCCGUGUUCGAAAGGGAAACAGCCCAGACCACCAGCUAAGGUCCCAAAAUAUAUGUUAAGUGGAAAAGGAUGUGGCGUUGCCCAGACAACUAGGAUGUUGGCUUAGAAGCAGCCAUCAUUUAAAGAGUGC
The sequence is a ribosomal RNA, 784 nucleotides long. It matches the Rfam family "Bacterial large subunit ribosomal RNA", at positions 347 to 1133 of the family's 2925-position model.